CCUACGGGAGGCAGCAGUGGGGAAUAUUGGGCAAUGGGCGCAAGCCUGACCCAGCAACGCCGCGUGAGGGAAGACUGUACAACGUAUCGUAAACUUCUUUUGUCGGGGAACAAAAGCCGAGACUCGUCUCCGGCUAAGUUUACCCGAAGAAAAACCAUCGGCCAACUCCGGGCCCGACGCCGCGUUAAUCCGGGGGAUGCGAGCAUUAUCCGGUUUGAUUGGGUUUAAAGGUUGCGCAGGCGGCAGAUCAAUUCAGCGGUAAAAUGUUGAGGCUCAACCCCGGCCGGCCGUUGAAACUGGUUAUCUAGAGUGGGAGAGAAGUAUGCGGAAUGCGUGGUGUAGCGGUGAAAUGCAUAGAUAUCACGAAGAACCCCGAUUGCGAAGGCAGCAUACCGG
This 396-nucleotide ribosomal RNA is filed under the name uncultured bacterium. Its description in RNAcentral is "partial 16S ribosomal RNA". It matches the Rfam family "Bacterial small subunit ribosomal RNA", at positions 338 to 732 of the family's 1533-position model. The record is from RNAcentral.